Non-coding RNA from Trichonephila inaurata madagascariensis, 69 nucleotides. The record is from the annotation of a GenBank genome assembly. Lineage: Eukaryota; Metazoa; Arthropoda; Arachnida; Araneae; Nephilidae.
GGUAUAGCUCAGUGGUAGAGCAUUCGAAUGCCAAUUGAGAGGUCCCUGGUUCAAACCAAGGUAUCCCCU